UUCCGGUUGAUCCUGCCGGACCUGACUGCUAUCGGAUUGAUACUAAGCCAUGCGAGUCAUUGUAGCAAUACAAGGCAGACGGCUCAGUAACGCGUAGUCAACCUAACCUAUGGACGGGAAUAACCUCGGGAAACUGAGUAUAAUGCCCGAUAGAACAUUAUGCCUGGAAUGGUUUAUGUUCCAAAUGAUUUAUCGCCGUAGGAUGGGACUGCGGCCUAUCAGUUUGUUGGUGAGGUAAUGGCCCACCAAGACUAUUACAGGUACGGGCUCUGAGAGGAGUAGCCCGGAGAUGGGUACUGAGACACGGACCCAGGCCCUAUGGGGCGCAGCAGGCGAGAAAACUUUGCAAUGUGCGAAAGCACGACAAGGUUAAUCCGAGUGGUUUCUGCUAAAGAAACCUUUUGUUAGUCCUAGAAACACUAACGAAUAAGGGGUGGGCAAGUUCUGGUGUCAGCCGCCGCGGUAAAACCAGCACCUCAAGUGGUCAGGAUGAUUAUUGGGCCUAAAGCAUCCGUAGCCGGCUCUGUAAGUUUCCGGUUAAAUCUGUGCGCUCAACGUACAGGCUGCCGGGAAUACUGCAGAGCUAGGGAGUGGGAGAGGUAGACGGUACUCGGGAGGAAGGGGUAAAAUCCUUUGAUCUUUCGAUGACCACCUGUGGCGAAGGCGGUCUACCAGAACACGUCCGACGGUGAGGGAUGAAAGCUGGGGGAGCAAACCGGAUUAGAUACCCGGGUAGUCCCAGCUGUAAACUAUGCAAACUCAGUGAUGCAUUGACUUGUGGUCAAUGCAGUGCUGCAGGGAAGCCGUUAAGUUUGCCGCCUGGGAAGUACGUACGCAAGUAUGAAACUUAAAGGAAUUGGCGGGGGAGCACCACAAGGGGUGAAGCCUGCGGUUCAAUUGGAUUCAACGCCGGA
This 914-nucleotide ribosomal RNA is filed under the name uncultured archaeon. RNAcentral describes it as "bacterial SSU rRNA". It matches the Rfam family "Archaeal small subunit ribosomal RNA", at positions 1 to 922 of the family's 1478-position model. The record is from RNAcentral.